UCCUACGGGAGGCAGCAGUCGGGAAUAUUGGGCAAUGGACGAAAGUCUGACCCAGCGAUACCACGUGAGUGAUGAAGGCCUUCGGGUUGUAAAGCUCUUUUAGCAGGGAAGAUAAUGACGGUACCUGCAGAAAAAGCACCGGCUAACUUCGUGCCAGCAGCCGCGGUAAUACGAAGGGUGCUAGCGUUACUCGGAAUUACUGGGCGUAAAGCGUACGUAGGCGGUUUUAUAAGUUGAGUAUUAAAUUCCAAGGCUUAACCUUGGGUUGUUCUCAAAACUGUAUGACUAGAGUUAUGUAGGGGAUAGUGGAAUUCCUAGUGUAGAGGUGGAAUUCGUAGAUAUUAGGAGGAACACCAGUUGGCGAAGGCGACUAUCUGGACAUUAACUGACGCUAAGGUACGAAAGUGUGGGUAGCAAACAGGAUUAGAUACCCUGGUAGUCC
This 442-nucleotide ribosomal RNA is filed under the name Leptospira interrogans. RNAcentral describes it as "bacterial SSU rRNA". It matches the Rfam family "Bacterial small subunit ribosomal RNA", at positions 337 to 796 of the family's 1533-position model. The record is from RNAcentral. Lineage: Bacteria; Pseudomonadati; Spirochaetota; Leptospiria; Leptospirales; Leptospiraceae.